Molecule: ribosomal RNA, 274 nt
Filed under: uncultured bacterium
Lineage: Bacteria
Description: partial 16S ribosomal RNA
Rfam family: Bacterial small subunit ribosomal RNA
Source: RNAcentral
CGAGGCCACGGGACGCAGCAGUGAGGAAUAUUGGUCAAUGGUCGGGAGACUGAACCAGCCAAGCCGCGUGAGGGAUGAAGGUACAGAGUAUCGUAAACCUCUUUUGUCAGGGAACAAAGGCGGGGACGCGUCCCCGGAUGAGUGUACCUGAAGAAAAAGCAUCGGCUAACUCCGUGCCAGCAGCCGCGGUAAUACGGAGGAUGCGAGCGUUAUCCGGAUUUAUUGGGUUUAAAGGGUGCGUAGGCGGAGUGUCAAGUCAGCGGUAAAAUUUCGG